This 254-nucleotide ribosomal RNA is filed under the name uncultured bacterium. RNAcentral describes it as "partial 16S ribosomal RNA". It matches the Rfam family "Bacterial small subunit ribosomal RNA", at positions 524 to 776 of the family's 1533-position model. The record is from RNAcentral.
CACGUAGGCACCAAGCGUUAUCCGGAUUUAUUGGGCGUAAAGAGCUCGUAGGCGGUUCGGUAAGUCGGGUGUGAAAACUCUGGGCUCAACCCAGAGAGGCCACCCGAUACUGCUGUGACUAGAGUGCGGUAGGGGAGCGGGGAAUUCAUGGUGUAGCGGUGAAAUGCGCAGAUAUCAUGAGGAACACCAGCGGCGAAGGCGCCGCUCUGGGCCGUAACUGACGCUGAGGAGCGAAAGCAUGGGUAGCAAACAGG